Molecule: transfer RNA, 69 nt
Filed under: Ictidomys tridecemlineatus (thirteen-lined ground squirrel)
Lineage: Eukaryota; Metazoa; Chordata; Mammalia; Rodentia; Sciuridae
Description: Spermophilus tridecemlineatus (thirteen-lined ground squirrel) tRNA
Rfam family: tRNA
About the family: Transfer RNA (tRNA) molecules are approximately 80 nucleotides in length. Their secondary structure includes four short double-helical elements and three loops (D, anti-codon, and T loops).
Source: Rfam by way of RNAcentral
GGGGAUAUGGCUCAGUGGCAGAGCGCUUGCCUAGCAUGCAUGAGGCACUGGGUUCGAUCCCCAGCACCA